RNAcentral lists this ribosomal RNA (301 nucleotides) under uncultured bacterium. RNAcentral describes it as "partial 16S ribosomal RNA". It matches the Rfam family "Bacterial small subunit ribosomal RNA", at positions 509 to 807 of the family's 1533-position model. The record is from RNAcentral.
CAGCCGCCACGGGAAUACAGAGGGUGCAAGCGUUAAUCGGAAUUACUGGGCGUAAAGCGCGCGUAGGUGGUUUGUUAAGUUGGAUGUGAAAUCCCCGGGCUCAACCUGGGAACUGCAUCCAAAACUGGCAAGCUAGAGUAUGGUAGAGGGUGGUGGAAUUUCCUGUGUAGCGGUGAAAUGCGUAGAUAUAGGAAGGAACACCAGUGGCGAAGGCGACCACCUGGACUGAUACUGACACUGAUGUGCGAAAGCGUGGGGAGCGAACAGGAUUAGAUACCCCUGUAGUCCCUGUCUCUUAUAC